Molecule: ribosomal RNA, 253 nt
Filed under: uncultured bacterium
Lineage: Bacteria
Description: partial 16S ribosomal RNA
Rfam family: Bacterial small subunit ribosomal RNA
Source: RNAcentral
UACGGAGGGUGCUAGCGUUGUUCGGAAUCACUGGGCGUAAAGCGCGUGUAGGCGGCCUCCCAAGUCUGAUGUGAAAGCCCGGGGCUCACCCCCGGAAGUGCAUUGGAAACUGUGAGGCUCGAGUCCCGGAGAGGAGAGUGGAAUUCCUGGUGUAGCGGUGAAAUGCGUAGAUAUCAGGAGGAACACCGGUGGCGAAGGCGGCUCUCUGGACGGUGACUGACGCUGAGACGCGAAAGCGUGGGGAGCAAACAGG